GAGGCUCUGGGAAAGGAGGACAGUGGUUAGGUCCACUGGCCCUCUGCAUAGUUAGCAUCAGGGUCGGGGUUGGAGUCAGGGGGUGGUGGGUGCACACAGACCAAGCUAUGAAAGCCAGUUUCUGCUCUUGCGCUACUGUGCACCUUCUAAGCUUCAAUAACCCAGACCAGAGCAGGAAGAGUAGGAGGGUGGAUGUGGCCAGGGCAGGAAGUUGCUAACCGCCCCAGGGCAGGUGCUGGGGGAGGGGUUCUAGUGAGAAGGAAGAAGGAAUGCCAAUUAUAAAGGCCAGAAGGUGCAGAAAGGCCGAGUAUGAUUGUUUAUGUGAGUACACUGUAGCUGUCUUCAGACACAUCAGAAGAGGGCAUCAGAUCCCAUUACAGAUGGUUGUGGGAAUUGAACUCAGGACCUCUGGAAGAACAGCCAGUGCUCUUAACAGCUGAGCCAUCUCUCCUGCCCCCUAAUAAGUGGAGAGAGGAAGGAAGGCGGCCACCCUCACCGCAACCCCAGCUGACUACAUUUUCCAGGGUUCUUUUUCCUGAGUCCACUGGAGUCGCAAGCUUUCAUCUAGAGAAAGAAGAGUCCCAGGAGGCCGCUGUCACUAACCAUUGGUGUUUAAGACAUGGCUGUCACUCAUCAGGACAGUGUCAUUUCUGACUCCUGUGGCCAGUCUUCCUGCCCAGCCCUUCUCCAC
Molecule: long non-coding RNA, 691 nt
Organism: Apodemus sylvaticus (European woodmouse)
Lineage: Eukaryota; Metazoa; Chordata; Mammalia; Rodentia; Muridae
Exons: 4
Source: RefSeq, a predicted model, not a curated record